UAAGGUUCGGUCCAUGACCAAGCAGCGCUGGUGUCCCCAGGGAAGCUGUUGGUAAUUCAUCCUAGUCAUGAGCUGGGAUCUGCAGCUUCCUGAGAACCACAGAGCAAGGCUUCCAGACGCCUCUGCAAAGGAGAG
RNAcentral lists this long non-coding RNA (135 nucleotides) under Fukomys damarensis (Damara mole-rat). RNAcentral describes it as "lncRNA (ENSFDAG00000031180.1)". Lineage: Eukaryota; Metazoa; Chordata; Mammalia; Rodentia; Bathyergidae. The record is from RNAcentral.